RNAcentral lists this ribosomal RNA (404 nucleotides) under uncultured bacterium. RNAcentral describes it as "bacterial SSU rRNA". It matches the Rfam family "Bacterial small subunit ribosomal RNA", at positions 355 to 776 of the family's 1533-position model. The record is from RNAcentral.
UGGGGAAUAUUGGACAAUGGGCGAAAGCCUGAUCCAGCAAUACCACGUGAGUGAUGAAGGCCUUCGGGUUGUAAAACUCUUUUAGUAGGGAAGAUAAUGACGGUACCUACAGAAAAAGCACCGGCUAACUUCGUGCCAGCAGCCGCGGUAAUACGAAGGGUGCUAGCGUUGUUCGGAAUCAUUGGGCGUAAAGCGUGCGUAGGCGGCUUGGUAAGUUGGCUGUGAAAGCCCAGGGCUUAACCUUGGAAUUGCAGUCAAAACUGCCUUGCUAGAGUAUGGCCGGGGAUAGUGGAAUUCCUAGUGUAGGGGUGAAAUCCGUAGAUAUUAGGAGGAACACCGGUGGCGAAAGCGACUAUCUAGACCAUUACUGACGCUGAGGCACGAAAGCGUGGGGAGCAAACAGG